GUCGAACGCCCCGCAAGGGGAGUGGCAGACGGGUGAGUAACGCGUGGGAAUCUACCGUGCCCUGCGGAAUAGCUCCGGGAAACUGGAAUUAAUACCGCAUACGCCCUACGGGGGAAAGAUUUAUCGGGGUAUGAUGAGCCCGCGUUGGAUUAGCUAGUUGGUGGGGUAAAGGCCUACCAAGGCGACGAUCCAUAGCUGGUCUGAGAGGAUGAUCAGCCACAUUGGGACUGAGACACGGCCCAAACUCCUACGGGAGGCAGCAGUGGGGAAUAUUGGACAAUGGGCGCAAGCCUGAUCCAGCCAUGCCGCGUGAGUGAUGAAGGCCUUAGGGUUGUAAAGCUCUUUCACCGGAGAAGAUAAUGACGGUAUCCGGAGAAGAAGCCCCGGCUAACU
RNAcentral lists this ribosomal RNA (393 nucleotides) under uncultured bacterium. RNAcentral describes it as "bacterial SSU rRNA". It matches the Rfam family "Bacterial small subunit ribosomal RNA", at positions 61 to 502 of the family's 1533-position model. The record is from RNAcentral.